Molecule: ribosomal RNA, 682 nt
Filed under: Peribacillus psychrosaccharolyticus
Lineage: Bacteria; Bacillati; Bacillota; Bacilli; Caryophanales; Bacillaceae
Description: bacterial SSU rRNA
Rfam family: Bacterial small subunit ribosomal RNA
Source: RNAcentral
CUAUACAGCAGUCGAGCGAUUGUUGAGUUUACUCAACAGUUAGCGGCGGACGGGUGAGUAACACGUGGGCAACCUGCCUAUAAGACUGGGAUAACUUCGGGAAACCGGAGCUAAUACCGGAUAUGUUCUUUUCUCGCAUGAGAAAAGAUGGAAAGACGGCGUCUCGCUGUCACUUAUAGAUGGGCCCGCGGCGCAUUAGCUAGUUGGUGAGGUAAUGGCUCACCAAGGCAACGAUGCGUAGCCGACCUGAGAGGGUGAUCGGCCACACUGGGACUGAGACACGGCCCAGACUCCUACGGGAGGCAGCAGUAGGGAAUCUUCCGCAAUGGACGAAAGUCUGACGGAGCAACGCCGCGUGAACGAUGAAGGCUUUCGGGUCGUAAAGUUCUGUUGUUAGGGAAGAACAAGUACCAGAGUAACUGCUGGUACCUUGACGGUACCUAACCAGAAAGCCACGGCUAACUACGUGCCAGCAGCCGCGGUAAUACGUAGGUGGCAAGCGUUAUCCGGAAUUAUUGGGCGUAAAGCGCGCGCAGGUGGUUCCUUAAGUCUGAUGUGAAAGCCCCCGGCUCAACCGGGGAGGGUCAUUGGAAUCUGGGGAACUUGAGUGUAGAAGAGGAAAGUGGAAUUCCACGUGUAGCGGUGAAAUGCGUAUAGAUGUGGAAGGAACACCAGUGGCGAA